RNAcentral lists this long non-coding RNA (1273 nucleotides) under Amborella trichopoda. RNAcentral describes it as "long non-coding RNA (ATRI_LNC001665)". Lineage: Eukaryota; Viridiplantae; Streptophyta; Magnoliopsida; Amborellales; Amborellaceae. The record is from RNAcentral.
AAACAUUCUAGGAAGAGCACGAGCUGAACCCCUCAUGUAUAGCUUUGCCCAAGCCUGAUUAACAAGAAAACAAUCUAACCUAGUCAUUAUAGGAUGACUCAAACAAUUAUUUGACCAUGUAUAUUUGGCCCCAGUAGCAGGGAUGUCUAACAACUCCAUAUCAAAAAUAAAACCAGAAAACCUUACAUACAAGAGUCAAUCAUGUGCUCUACACUUGAUUCAAAAGGCCAUCUAAUCACAUUAAAAUCACCCCCAAUACACCAAGGUAGAAAAACUAAACCCCCAAUCUUAUUAAAGUGUUCAUUGCAAAAAUCAUGCCUUGAACUAGCUUCAUUAGGACCAUACACAUUUGUAAUCAACAAACAGCAACCAUAAUUAACAUGAAGAAAAACAUACGAAAUAGACCAUAUAUUGAUAGAAGAUCAUUCACACACCAAAACAGAGGGGCCCAUAACAUCCAUAUACCCCCAGAAGCACCAACAGAUUCUUUUACACAUAAUUGCAAAGGUCUAAAACCCCAAAUAGACAUAACAUGGUAAAACAAAAUAUUAGAGAUUUUGGUCUCUUGAAUCAAAACCAAAUAUGGACGUUCUUUCUUAACUCUAAUCCAGAUCUUUCUUUAACAAUAUUUGAAAAACUUAAAGAUUUAGACCAAUCUUGCAAAGUUAGCAGGCUGCCUCUGAAUCUCCAAUGUUUUUCCUUAAGAGCUAUUUCUUUACAAUAUGAUCAGACAAAUUGAACAAAACAAAACUAUUAAGGAAAAACACAUAUCCAGGUUUUUAAGCCAGAUUCCAAUUUUUCCAGGCCCAAUGAUCUAGCCUUCUCAGAUCUUGAAUUGGAGGAGAAAAAGAGCCUAAAAGAGAUGGUCACAACCCCUAUCUCCUGAUUUUACAGAUUUCAUCAUCCACCUUCACCCACCAUUGAUCAGCUAUCUGAUAAGAAUUUUCCACCAAAUUCACACCUUCACGAUUAAUACUAACUAAAGAAUCGCCCCGAACAACCUUCGCAAAAGAUCUACAGAUAUUAGCCAUCUCUCUCUCUCUCUCUCUCUCUCUCUCUCUCUCACACACACACACAUAAAAAUGUCCCUGCCUCAAUGGUGGUAGUCCGAUAGUUCACGUCUCGCAAAAUGGAGGUCUCCUGUUUCAACAAGUUUCUUCUCAAGAAGGCAGCAACGCCCCUAAGAUCUUCAGAGACAAAAAAACUUAAAAUGGCCACCAAAGAAUUACAAAGCGGAAAAUGCACCUGACCUAUUUUGAUACGUAUAAAGUAU